CCUACGGGAGGCAGCAGUGAGGAAUAUUAGUCAAUGGACGAGAGUCUGAACCAGCCAAGUAGCGUGAAGGAUGACUGCCCUAUGGGUUGUAAACUUCUUUUAUAAAGGAAUAAAACGAGGCACGUGUGCCUUUUUGCAUGUACUUUAUGAAUAAGGAUCGGCUAACUCCGUGCCAGCAGCCGCGGUAAUACGGAGGAUCCGAGCGUUAUCCGGCUUUAUUGGGUUUAAAGGGAGCGUAGAUGGGUUGUUAAGUCAGUGGUGAAAGUUUGCGGCUCAACCGUAAAAUUGCAAUUGAUACUGGCAGUCUUGAGUACAGUUGAGGUAGGCGGAAUUCGUGGUGUAGCGGUGAAAUGCUUAGAUAUCACGAAGAACCCCGAUUGCGAAGGCAGCUUACGAAACUGUGACUGACAUUGAUGCUCGAAAGUGUGGGUAUCAAACAGGAUUAGAUACCCGUGUAGUC
RNAcentral lists this ribosomal RNA (460 nucleotides) under uncultured bacterium. RNAcentral describes it as "partial 16S ribosomal RNA". It matches the Rfam family "Bacterial small subunit ribosomal RNA", at positions 338 to 795 of the family's 1533-position model. The record is from RNAcentral.